CAGUACAAGUACCGUGAGGGAAAGUUGCAAAGAACUUUGAAGAGAGAGUUCAAGAGAAUGUGAAUCCACGUGGGGCUAAGCGGAUAGAGUUGACGAAACUGGCAGUGUUCAGUAGUCCUGAUCGGGUUUCGACUCGUGAUGGUCUGCGCAUUCAUUGUCGGUACGUGCUGGGACGUUUGGCGAGCCCUUCUGAAGGCUUCAGAGUCACCCAAGCUUCGGCCUGGUAGUGUUUUGUUGUCGGAAGUUGAUGUGCUUGCUAAGCGUAAUGUUGGCCAUGCCUCUGCGCGUUCUGCAGUUGGUUAGCGCUCUGCUUGGUAGUCGGACAUGUCUGGCUGCCUCGUACGUGUGUUGAUCAGCGGCUGCUCGCCUAUGGUCCAAUCCCGGUAUGUGAAAGUCGACCACCUAUCCGACCCGUCUUGAAACACGGACCAAGAAGUCUAGUAUGUACGCGAGUCAUUGGGUAUCAAAACCUAUUGGCGCAAUAAAUGUGAAGGGCGGCUCGUUCGUCUGAUAUGUGAUCCGUCAGUUUCGGCUGGCGGCGCAACAUAGUCCCAUGCCUACUGCUUGCAGUGGUGUGGAGAUGGAGCGUACACACUAGGACCCGAAAGAUGGUGAACUAUGCCUGAGCAGGACGAAGUCAGAGGAAACUCUGAUGGAAGUCCGAAGCGGUUCUGACGUGCAAAUCGAUCGUCGGACUCGGGUAUAGGGGCGAAAGACUAAUCGAACC
This 727-nucleotide ribosomal RNA is filed under the name Pristionchus aerivorus. RNAcentral describes it as "eukaryotic LSU rRNA". It matches the Rfam family "Eukaryotic large subunit ribosomal RNA", at positions 340 to 941 of the family's 3401-position model. Lineage: Eukaryota; Metazoa; Nematoda; Chromadorea; Rhabditida; Neodiplogasteridae. The record is from RNAcentral.